Molecule: transfer RNA, 61 nt
Filed under: Arcovestia ivanovi
Lineage: Eukaryota; Metazoa; Annelida; Polychaeta; Sabellida; Siboglinidae
Also listed under: 2 other names
Description: tRNA-Cys
Source: RNAcentral
CCUUAUAGUUGAACUAACAACAUUAAAUUGCAGCUUUAAAAGUGUAUACCUACUAAGGUUU